Molecule: ribosomal RNA, 570 nt
Filed under: uncultured bacterium
Lineage: Bacteria
Description: bacterial SSU rRNA
Rfam family: Bacterial small subunit ribosomal RNA
Source: RNAcentral
GGAGGCAGCAGGUGGGGAAUAUUGCACAAUGGGCGCAAGCCUGAUGCAGCCAUGCCGCGUGUGUGAAGAAGGCCUUCGGGUUGUAAAGCACUUUCAGUUGUGAGGAAAGGGGUGUAGUUAAUACCUGCACUCUGUGACGUUAACAACAGAAGAAGCACCGGCUAACUCCGUGCCAGCAGCCGCGGUAAUACGGAGGGUGCGAGCGUUAAUCGGAAUUACUGGGCGUAAAGCGCACGCAGGUGGAAUGUUAAGCUAGAUGUGAAAGCCCAGCGCUCAACGUUGGACGGUCAUUUAGAACUGGCAUUCUAGAGUUUUGGAGAGGGGAGUGGAAUUCCAGGUGUAGCGGUGAAAUGCGUAGAGAUCUGGAGGAACAUCAGUGGCGAAGGCNACUCUCUGGCCAAAAACUGACACUCAUGUGCGAAAGUGUGGGUAGCGAACAGGAUUAGAUACCCUGGUAGUCCACACCGUAAACGCUGUCUACUAGCUGUUUGUGAGUUUAACUCGUGAGUAGCGAAGCUAACGCGCUAAGUAAACCGCCUGGGGAGUACGGUCGCAAGAUUAAAACUCAAA